CAAAGGUGAGCCAGUACAGGAUGGACCCGCGUCUGAUUAGCUAGUUGGUAAGGUAACGGCUUACCAAGGCGACGAUCAGUAGCCGACCUGAGAGGGUGAUCGGCCACAUUGGAACUGAGACACGGUCCAAACUCCUACGGGAGGCAGCAGUGGGGAAUAUUGCACAAUGGGCGAAGGCCUGAUGCGGCAACGCCGCGUGAGUGAUGAAGGCCUUCGGGUCGUAAAACUCUGUCCUCAAGGAAGAUAAUGACGGUACUUGAGGAGGAAGCCCCGGCUAACUACGUGCCAGCAGCCGCGGUAAUACGUAGGGAGCUAGCGUUAUCCGGAUUUACUGGGCGUAAAGGGUGCGUAGGCGGUCUUUCAAGUCAGGAGUGAAAGGCUACGGCUCAACCGUAGUAAGCUCUUGAAACUGGGAGACUUGAGUGCAGGAGAGGAGAGUGGAAUUCCUAGUGUAGCGGUGAAAUGCGUAGAUAUUAGGAGGAACACCAGUUGCGAAGGCGGCUCUCUGGACUGUAACUGACGCUGAGGCACGAAAGCGUGGGGAGCAAACAGGAUUAGAUACCCUGGUAGUCCACGCUGUAAACGAUGAGUACUAGGUGUCGGGGGUUACCCC
RNAcentral lists this ribosomal RNA (613 nucleotides) under uncultured bacterium. RNAcentral's name for it is "bacterial SSU rRNA". It matches the Rfam family "Bacterial small subunit ribosomal RNA", at positions 202 to 840 of the family's 1533-position model. The record is from RNAcentral.